RNAcentral lists this unclassified non-coding RNA (252 nucleotides) under plant metagenome. RNAcentral's name for it is "partial contains small subunit ribosomal RNA, internal transcribed spacer 1, and 5.8S ribosomal RNA". The record is from RNAcentral.
CGUAGGUGAACCUGCGGAAGGAUCAUUAAUGAAAUGCACCCUCGGGGUGUUGUGCUGGCGCUCCGGCGCAAUGUGCACGCCCCCUCUGGCGUUCAGACCCCUUCACACCUGUGCACGAACCCGUCGGACGGGAGUGGUGCCUUGCGCGCCCUCCGGUCUGGCCCUUCACAUCAGCUUAUUACCGUAUGUCGAAUGCAUCACUGCGCACGCGCAACCGAAAUACAACUUUUAACAACGGAUCUCUUGGUUCUC